This 497-nucleotide ribosomal RNA is filed under the name uncultured bacterium. RNAcentral describes it as "partial 16S ribosomal RNA". It matches the Rfam family "Bacterial small subunit ribosomal RNA", at positions 28 to 507 of the family's 1533-position model. The record is from RNAcentral.
GAUGAACGCUGGCGGCGUGCCUAAUACAUGCAAGUCGAGCGAACGGACGAGAAGCUUGCUUCUCUGAUGUUAGCGGCGGACGGGUGAGUAACACGUGGAUAACCUACCUAUAAGACUGGGAUAACUUCGGGAAACCGGAGCUAAUACCGGAUAAUAUUUUGAACCGCAUGGUUCAAAAGUAAAAGACGGUCUUGCUGUCACUUAUAGAUGGAUCCGCGCUGCAUUAGCUAGUUGGUAAGGUAACGGCUUACCAAGGCAACGAUGCAUAGCCGACCUGAGAGGGUGUUCGGCCACACUGGAACUGAGACACGGUCCAGACUACUACGGGAGGCAGCAGUAGGGAAUCUUCCGCAAAGGGCGAAAGCCUGACGGAGCAACGCCGCGUGAGUGAUGAAGGUCUUCGGAUCGUAAAACUCUGUUAUUAGGGAAGAACAUAUGUGUAAGUAACUGUGCACAUCUUGACGGUACCUAAUCAGAAAGCCACGGCUAACUACGUG